RNAcentral lists this ribosomal RNA (333 nucleotides) under Clostridioides difficile. RNAcentral's name for it is "partial 23S ribosomal RNA". It matches the Rfam family "Bacterial large subunit ribosomal RNA", at positions 594 to 925 of the family's 2925-position model. Lineage: Bacteria; Bacillati; Bacillota; Clostridia; Peptostreptococcales; Peptostreptococcaceae. The record is from RNAcentral.
UGACCGCGUACUUUUUGUAGAACGGGCCAACGAGUUACGUUAAGUAGCAAGGUUAAGCACUUAAGGUGUGGAGCCGUAGCGAAAGCGAGUUUUAACUGAGCGUUCAGUUACUUGACGUAGACCCGAAACCGGGCGACCUACCCAUGAGCAGGAUGAAGCGAAAGUAAAAUUUCGGGGAGGUCCGAACCCACGAGCGUUGAAAAGCUCGGGGAUGACUUGUGGGUAGCGGUGAAAUUCCAAUCGAGCCCGGAGAUAGCUGGUUCUCCCCGAAAUAGCUUUAGGGCUAGCCUCAAGGUGAGAGAUACGGAGGUAGAGCACUGAAUGUCCUAGGGG